This is a long non-coding RNA of Mauremys reevesii (Reeves's turtle), 850 nucleotides long. RefSeq lists it as uncharacterized. The transcript is spliced from 3 exons. The record is from RefSeq and is a predicted model, not a curated record. NCBI's taxonomy places the organism in Eukaryota, Metazoa, Chordata, Testudines, Geoemydidae.
GCCGAGCCAGGCAGUUGUGGCCUGGGGCUUCAGGGGUAAAGAUUGGCUUCCUAGCUGGUAAAAGAGGUGCUAGCACCAUGGACAGAGCAGUUGCUGGCAGGGAUUAAGGGAGCAGAGGCCCUGAAGUAAGGGUGAAGUAGGUUCUGGACUUGUGGGGAAGCGGCCCAGGGAAAUGUGCUGAACAGUUAGAAGGGAUGGAGCAAGAGGCUGCCCCUAGGGGGUCCCUGGGUUGGCACCUGGAGUAGUGGACAGAUCCUCCCCUCUUAACCACUGAGAGAAAUGACUGGGCAAAUUGACUGCAAUGUACUGACCCCCAGAACGGGGAGAAACAGACAGUGACGUGGCUGAAGGACUGAGUCAUGAAGAGCGUGCAGCGGUUCCUGGAGAGACUGCCAGUGGAGACAGAGCGAUGGGGUGCAAACUAUGGAUGUGGGGCAUUGUCCUUGAGCAAAUACCCACAGCAACUAGGAGAAGGACCCAGUCCAGUGGACAGGACCUAGGUAACAGGAUGAGGAUCAAUGGACCACUACCAUGUCUUGCAGCUCUGAGGACCCUCGCGAUGACAGGACAGCUCCGGAUCCCAUCCAAAUUGAUUGAAUGCUCCAGGUGCACUCUAGCUAUUAAGCAAUCAGCAGCUGUUCAUUGUUUUCAUGCCUCAAGACAAUAGAGAUCAUCCUUUAAAUAUAAGACUUACCGUAAUUACAUCUUUGAAGCUAUCAAAGAGUGGACAGAAUUUAGCAUGAACAAAAGUUUUCAAAUACUCCAGCAUCUCUUUUCCCCUUGAUUCAUGAACCUAGGUUCCUUCAAUGCCAGUGGGAGUUGUUCGUCUCCACUGAUAGCUCCAUCUUUA